GUCAGUAUGUCCGAGUGGUUAAGGAGUUAGACUUGAAAUCUAAUGCGCACUGCGCUCGCAGGUUCAAAUCCUGCUGCUGACG
Molecule: transfer RNA, 82 nt
Filed under: Schizosaccharomyces octosporus yFS286
Lineage: Eukaryota; Fungi; Ascomycota; Schizosaccharomycetes; Schizosaccharomycetales; Schizosaccharomycetaceae
Also listed under: 1 other name
Description: tRNA-Ser (TGA) (tRNA-Ser-TGA-1-1, tRNA-Ser-TGA-1-2)
Rfam family: tRNA
About the family: Transfer RNA (tRNA) molecules are approximately 80 nucleotides in length.
Source: RNAcentral